Ctenopharyngodon idella (grass carp) is the source of this 1893-nucleotide long non-coding RNA. RefSeq lists it as uncharacterized. The transcript is spliced from 3 exons. The record is from RefSeq and is a predicted model, not a curated record. Lineage: Eukaryota; Metazoa; Chordata; Actinopteri; Cypriniformes; Xenocyprididae.
AAUUACCUAUUAACCCAGCCGAACAGUUACACCUCUUUCAACCUUUGCUCAAGAUGCUUCCAUUGUGAUGCACUCCGCACUUUUCCAACAUGAUGUAAAAAUAACCAAUAACACGGAAUUAUUGGAUUGUACCAAGUAUCAGACAGGGCAUCAUGGGGAAUAUGCACCACAGCGUUAAUAUGGUUCUAAUUACAUAUUUGGUUAUGGCAAUGUCUGCACAUGAAUGUCUGACUUCUAAAGAAAAAAAAGCAACUUUUUCAUCAGAACUUCAUCCACUGGAAAGUUCUUCAGAUGUCCAGCAGGACAAUACUGUCAUAGAAGGACUUCUCCAAAAUAUCACAGAACCAACAGGAAUCAUCCACUCCGCCUGGCCUGCUGGGCUCGGUGCUUUGACAGCAGUGCUUUCCAUUGGACUACUCAUAGCACUGGCCGUGAGAUACCGUUUCUUCCGAUGGUGCCUGGCCAGAAACAGUCAGCACUUAUUACUGGAGGGAGAAACAGCCAGCCAGUUCAGUCAAGCCGGAGCCCUGGAUGGAGAAAUCCCAGUGCGCGGCAUGAGGGGUAGAAUGAUACAUGGAGGAAGUUCAGAUGAUGAUGAGGAUGAUGGCUACAUCGAGGACAACUACAUUCAGGCAAGUGAGAGAGAGAGAGAAGAGGAAGAGGAGAACCAGCAGGAAGAUGUUGAAGACAGUGAUGAUGAAAUGAUCAUUCCAGAAAUUAUAUAAACUCAUGUUAUGUCUGUGUACUGCUAUGUCCCCAUAAGUUUGGAAUUACUAUGACAUUAUUUAAAUGUAUGCUUUUAUUAACCCAGAAUUCAUUUAAUUGCUGACAGUAUAGACAUUUAUAUUUUUACAAAUUUCUAUUUCAAAUAAAAUAUGUUCAAAAUUUCUGUUUAUCAAAGAAUCGUUAUGCAUUCUAUAGCAGUCAGUUUAUUAAAGCAAUAUUUUGGGUUCAGUACUACAUGGUAAAAUGUUCAUCCUUUUGUUUAAAAGAAGCAAAAAUCAGGCAGUUACAAUCGAAGUGAAUGGGCAUUAGCAGGAGCCUACAUUAAAGUUUCAUGAAACUUAAGUUACAGUAGUCUUUUCCUCCCUAUUUUUGACGUAUAUUCAAGUAAAAUGGUCCCCCUGAAAUCAAAAUUUAAGUUUUUUAGCUUUUAGUAUGAAUAUGUUAGCCUUAAGGUUAUGAAUAAGCUGGUGUGUUCCAAAACAAUGACAAAAUUCGCAUUUAGGAGAUAUAAGCAUUCAAAACUUAGUCUCUCACUUCCGCUAAAAUGGAUCACGGAUUUUCAUGACAUCACAUCGCACCAGUGGCGUAGCGUCUGGGCAUGCAAGGUAUGCACGUGCAUAUGGGCCCUGGCGGAUUGGGGGCCCCCUAUUACGGGCUUAACCCCAAAGUAUACUUCGGGCGUCCGCGCACCGUCCGCAUUGCGAAAUUUUCGUCAUCAGGAGGGUUUGCAGACGUCCGCACUCCCCGUCCGCUUGCAGCCCAAUUUUUGUGAUGGCACGGACAGUGUGUACUGUACAACAGCCCAUGCGAGAGUGAAUUGAGUGCUUGAAAACAAAAGUCCACUAGAUAGUGCGCAGUGCACAUGUUCAGAAAAAUUAAGUAUAAUAAAAAAUAAUAUUGUCAAUAACUUGCUAUAGCCUAUCUAUGUUAAAUGUACUGAAAAUCAUUAAGAAGCUGAAUAAAUGGACCAUGUCUUAGCGAUGAUCUAUUGUAUUUGACCUGUAUUCGCUUUUCUGUCAUUUUUAAAGUGGGUUUCUGAAACUUAUGCAUGCAGUAAUGUAAGUAGUACAGAAUUUUAAAUAAGUCAUAUUGGUUUUCUGAAAAAAUGCUACGUCUGCACAUUUUAAGAUACUGCACAAGAUGUGAAUAAAUGUAACUCGUACAGUC